AUUGAACGCUGGCGGCAGGCUUAACACAUGCAAGUCGAGCGGAGCGAGGGUGCUUGCACCUUAGCUUAGCGGCGGACGGGUGAGUAAUGCUUAGGAAUCUGCCUAUUAGUGGGGGACAACAUUCCGAAAGGAAUGCUAAUACCGCAUACGCCCUACGGGGGAAAGCAGGGGAUCUUCGGACCUUGCGCUAAUAGAUGAGCCUAAGUCGGAUUAGCUAGUUGGUGGGGUAAAGGCCUACCAAGGCGACGAUCUGUAGCGGGUCUGAGAGGAUGAUCCGCCGCCCGGGGACUGAGACACGGCCCAGACUCCUACGGGAGGCAGCAGUGGGGAAUAUUGGACAAUGGGCGGAAGCCUGAUCCAGCCAUGCCGCGUGUGUGAAGAAGGCCUUUUGGUUGUAAAGCACUUUAAGCGAGGAGGAGGCUACUUAGAUUAAUACUCUGGGAUAGUGGACGUUACUCGCAGAAUAAGCACCGGCUAACUCUGUGCCAGCAGCCGCCGUAA
Molecule: ribosomal RNA, 501 nt
Filed under: uncultured bacterium
Lineage: Bacteria
Description: partial 16S ribosomal RNA
Rfam family: Bacterial small subunit ribosomal RNA
Source: RNAcentral